This 380-nucleotide ribosomal RNA is filed under the name uncultured eukaryote. Its description in RNAcentral is "SSU rRNA". It matches the Rfam family "Eukaryotic small subunit ribosomal RNA", at positions 587 to 972 of the family's 1831-position model. The record is from RNAcentral.
AGCUCCAAUAGCGUAUAUUAAAGUUGUUGCAGUUAAAAAGCUCGUAGUUGAACUUCAGGCCCGGCCGGAUGGUCUGCCUAACGGUGUGUACUGUUUGGCUGGGUCUUACCUCUUGGUGAGCCGGUAUGUCCUUUACUGGAUGUGUCGGGGAACCAGGACUUUUACCUUGAGAAAAUCAGAGUGUUCAAAGCAGGCCUUUGCCCGAAUGCAUUAGCAGGGAAUAAUAAAAUAGGACGUGUGGUUCUAUUUUGUUGGUUUCUAGGAUCGCCGUAAUGAUUAAUAGGGACAGUUGGGGGCAUUAGUAUUCAGUUGCUAGAGGUGAAAUUCUUGGAUUUACUGAAGACUAACUAUUGCGAAAGCAUUUGCCAAGGAUGUUUUCA